CGCAAGGGAAUGGUUGGAACCGGUUCAUAUUGCUAAUCGACUCUAGCUUGCUAGUAGUCUGAUAAGCCCUAUAGACAACCGCCCUAUCAACUUGAUGGUAAGGUUUUGGCUUACCAUGGUUGUAACGGGUAACGGGGAAUCAGGGUUCGAUUCCGGAGAGGACGCCUGAGAAACGGCGUCCACAUCUACGGGUGGCAGCAGGCGCGUAAAUUGCCCAAUCUCAACAGAGAGGAGGCGGUGACAAUAAAUCCCGAUGGCUUUGGGGGCAACCCCAGGCUAAUCAGAAUAAGUACACAUUAAAUCCCUUAACCAAUAUAAUUGGAGGGCAAGUCUGGUGCCAGCAGCCGCGGUAAUUCCAGCUCCAAUAGCAUAUACUAAUGUUGUUGCAGUUAAAACGCUCGUAGCUUAAUAUCUUUUGAGCUACUAUCGACUGUCAUCCUUUUAUGGAGCCGCAAGGUAAAGUAGGAGGACCAGUCGGCUCAAACACUGUAGGUCAUGCGGCUAGCAAUAGUUGCAUAAUCGACUGUGCAUAAACCUUGAUGCUCAAGGUAGGCCUUUAUAGGGUAGAUACACAGUGCAUGGCAUUGUGGAACAAGGCAUCUCGCGGCUUAGUUGGUGGGCCGCGGGGGCAAUGAUUAAUAGGGAGGAGCGGGGGCCUUCAUAUUGCAGGGCGAGAGGUGAAAUUCGUUGACCCUUGCAAGAUGUCCUACAGCGAAAGCAUUGGCCAAGUGCCUCCCCAUUAGUCAAGAACGAAAGUUUGGGGAUCAAAGACGAUCAGAUACCGUCGUAGUCCAAACCAUAAACUAUGUCGACCAGCGAUUAGGCGGGCUACCUUCUUCGAGAGCUGCCUAGCAGCUUGUGGGAAACCAUGAGUGCUUGGACUCUGGGGGGAGUAUGGUCGCAAGGCUGAAACUUAAAGGAAUUGACGGAAGGGCACACCAUGGAGUGGAGCCUGCGGCUUAAUUUGACUCAACACGGGAAAGCUUACCAAGCUCAGAUAUGAUUAGGAUUGACAGACUAAAAGAUCUUUCAUGAUCUCAUAAGUGGUGGUGCAUGGUCGUUCUUAGUUGGUGGAGUGAUUUGUCAGGUCAAUUCCGGUAACGGACGAGACCUCGACCUGCUAACUAGUGGGAUUCAUUCUUUCGAUUGACGAGGCAGGUAUUGCUUUGAUUAUGGGGGGCAACCUUCAUAGUCGGGUAGUGCUUG
This 1206-nucleotide ribosomal RNA is filed under the name Cavenderia fasciculata. RNAcentral's name for it is "SSU rRNA". It matches the Rfam family "Eukaryotic small subunit ribosomal RNA", at positions 231 to 1428 of the family's 1831-position model. Lineage: Eukaryota; Evosea; Eumycetozoa; Acytosteliales; Cavenderiaceae. The record is from RNAcentral.